GAACUGUGAGACAGGUGCUGCAUGGCUGUCGUCAGCUCGUGUUGUGAAAUGUUGGGUUAAGUCCCGCAACGAGCGCAACCCUUAUCCUUUGUUGCCAGCGGUCCGGCCGGGAACUCAAAGGAGACUGCCAGUGAUAAACUGGAGGAAGGUGGGGAUGACGUCAAGUCAUCAUGGCCCUUACGACCAGGGCUACACACGUGCUACAAUGGCGCAUACAAAGAGAAGCGACCUCGCGAGAGCAAGCGGACCUCAUAAAGUGCGUCGUAGUCCGGAUUGGAGUCUGCAACUCGACUCCAUGAAGUCGGAAUCGCUAGUAAUCGUGGAUCAGAAUGCCACGGUGAAUACGUUCCCGGGCCUUGUACACACCGCCCGUCACACCAUGGGAGUGGGUUGCAAAAGAAGUAGGUAGCUUAACCUUCGGGAGGGCGCUUACCACUUUGUGAUUCAUGACUGGGGUGAAGUCGUAACAAGGUAACCGUAGGGGAACCUGC
Molecule: ribosomal RNA, 491 nt
Filed under: Salmonella enterica subsp. enterica serovar Infantis
Lineage: Bacteria; Pseudomonadati; Pseudomonadota; Gammaproteobacteria; Enterobacterales; Enterobacteriaceae
Also listed under: 1 other name
Description: bacterial SSU rRNA
Rfam family: Bacterial small subunit ribosomal RNA
Source: RNAcentral